GGCCAAGUAGCUCAGUUGGUAGAGCAGUGGAUUGAAAAUCCUCGUGUCGGUGGUUCGAUUCCGCCCUUGGCCACCA
This 76-nucleotide transfer RNA is filed under the name Pseudomonadota bacterium. Its description in RNAcentral is "tRNA-Phe". It matches the Rfam family "tRNA". Rfam says of the family: Transfer RNA (tRNA) molecules are approximately 80 nucleotides in length. Their secondary structure includes four short double-helical elements and three loops (D, anti-codon, and T loops). Lineage: Bacteria; Pseudomonadati; Pseudomonadota. The record is from RNAcentral. RNAcentral also lists the same sequence under 5 other names.